AUUGAACGCUGGCGGCAGGCCUAACACAUGCAAGUCGAGCGGAUGAAGGGAGCUUGCUCCUGGAUUCAGCGGCGGACGGGUGAGUAAUGCCUAGGAAUCUGCCUGGUAGUGGGGGAUAACGUCCGGAAACGGGCGCUAAUACCGCAUACGUCCUGAGGGAGAAAGUGGGGGAUCUUCGGACCUCACGCUAUCAGAUGAGCCUAGGUCGGAUUAGCUAGUUGGUGGGGUAAAGGCCUACCAAGGCGACGAUCCGUAACUGGUCUGAGAGGAUGAUCAGUCAAACUGGAAAUUGGAAAAGGGCCCAGACCCCAAGGGGGGGAGGAGGGGGGAAACUUUGGAAAAGGGGGAAAAGCCUGCUGCAGACAGCCCGGGGGGGGAAAAAAGGUUUCGGAAUUGUAAAGCCCUUUAAGUGGGGAGGAAGGAGAUGAAGUUAAUUAUUCGCUGUUUUACCUUUACCAACAAAAAAAGCACCGGUAAACUCGGG
This 484-nucleotide ribosomal RNA is filed under the name uncultured bacterium. RNAcentral's name for it is "partial 16S ribosomal RNA". It matches the Rfam family "Bacterial small subunit ribosomal RNA", at positions 29 to 506 of the family's 1533-position model. The record is from RNAcentral.